ACCCAGCCAUCGGGGCAAGUGGUAUGCCCCGAUGAGUAGGAGGGCGUGGGGCUCGUGGUUAAGCGUGCGGCGUAAGCCGGCGUGGAACGGGCCCUAGUGCAGAUCUUGGUGGUAGUAGCAAACAUUCAAAUGAGAACUUUGAAGGCCGAAGUGGAGAAAGGUUCCAUGUGAACAGCAAUUGGACAUGGGUGAGCCGAUCCUAAGGCAAAGGAGAAGUCCGGAAAGGCGGCGCUUGCGCGCCCUCCUGCCGAAAGGGAAGGCGGUUAAAAUUCCGCCGCCAGAACGUGGAUACUGAGUGGUAACACUACCGAAGCCGGGCACGUCUGCGGGAGCCCUGGGAAGAGUUGUCUUUUCUUGUUAACAGCCUGCCUGGACCCUGGAAUCUAGUUGAUAGGCGAUAGGGUGCAGGCGCUGGAAAAGGCGCAUAUUUUUCGUGCGCUCCGGUGCGCUCCCGACGGCCCUUGAAAACCCGGCGGCGUGACUUAUUUGCACCUCUGGUCGUACUCAUAACCGCAUCAGGUCUCCAAGGUGUGUAGCCUCUGGUCGAUAGAACAAUGUAGAUAAGGGAAGUCGGCAAAAUGGAUCCGUAACUUUGGGAAAAGGAUUGGCUCUGAGGGUUGGGCCCUUGGGUCCCAUUGGCGACGUUGGCGCGGCCU
RNAcentral lists this ribosomal RNA (656 nucleotides) under Phaeomonas parva. Its description in RNAcentral is "partial Eukaryotic large subunit ribosomal RNA". It matches the Rfam family "Eukaryotic large subunit ribosomal RNA", at positions 1346 to 1999 of the family's 3401-position model. The record is from RNAcentral. Lineage: Eukaryota; Pinguiophyceae; Pinguiochrysidales; Pinguiochrysidaceae.